CUAAUAUAAACUCUUAUUUAUUUAGAAUACCACAUAAAAAUCAUAAAUAAACUCCAUAGACCAAAAUCUCACACUGCUAGACAUUUUGAGUCAAGUAGUUGAGCGCGCGUCGUCUGCUCAUGACAGUGUAAGGGCGGGCAAGUCAAUCGUCGUUUUAAUUCUCGAGUUUCUCUGUUACUUUGUGUCCCUUCCCGCCUGGCCACUCCGCAUUUGUCUCUUCAGGGUGAAGUGAGCCCUGGUGGCAGCCCUGAGGCAGUGUGGUGAGAGCAGAUACGGGAGGCAAAGGUGGGAGAGUGUGUGUGUGCGUGUGUGUGUGGUGUAGCAUGGCAGUGUAGAGGUGUUGUGCUGGUGAGGGGUGAGUAAUGGGGUGGACAGGAUUUGUGCUACUGAUUAAAUAGAAGUCCUGUGAAGUUAAGAUUUUCGUAGGAUCAAAAAGUUAAUGACAAUAGUAUUAAGUAGCGUGGGAGUGUUGCAUGGGGUGUCGUGGUGAUGGGAACAGUUGUUGGGGUGGUUAGGGCUCGGGGGUUGAUACAUCUCGGACCGUCAGCCCAACCAGCUCGGACCAUUCUGGAAUAUGAACUUGGAUAAUCGUCUCGCCGUCACUCAUGUCCAGCCCAGGUUUCAUUCGCAGACCGUGUUAAGCACAGGCAGUUUGGAGACGAGUGCAGCAGCUCGGCAUUCAGUCUGCCUACACAAACAAUGGCUUUUGGAUGUCCAGCAGCGCACACACUUUCAGAGACACCCGUGGCAAGUGCAAGACAGAGAAAGGGUGAAGAUGGAGAUUGUUAUAAUGUACACAGCAUAAUUGGUUCAACAUUUUUUUUUUUUUUUUUUUAGGCUGUAGGUAGUGCACAUAGUUUCAACCACAGGAUUUUGUGUGCAUUGUCAUUUAAUUUAAUGUCCAUAUUUAUUUAGCUAGAAGGAGUAACAAUUAUGAAAUUUUAUAAAAGUUAUUUACAAGAGACCUUGCAUUAUGAAGAUUUGUUUCAAGUUCUUGGCUUGGCCUGUGUUUAUCAUCACCAUCAUCUAUUUCAGUCAGUCUUUAUCGGCCUGCUAAAUUCAUGCAUUUUUUCAGUCAUUUACUUUGGUGGUGGUGUCAGUUCAGUGUGCAUAUCAGUCCCUUGUUAGGUGAGCCCUCUCUCCCAGCACACCCACACAUCCAUCUCACUGUGUUCUCUUCAGUCUCUUCCAAACUUAAUGGUCCUGAUUGCACAAAUAUGAAGCAUUACACUUCCUAGCAGUGGAAGUUCACACAGUCAUUACUGCAAGGUCUCUGUGCAGCUGUUAUAGGCAAGUUUUGUAGUUAUUCACAUAAAUGUGCAAUUUUAAGGAAGUGUUGUGUAUAAAUGGAUUUAUAUAUUUUUUUAAGAUGUAUUUAGGCUGAAAAUAUGAUUGAUUAUACAGCCAGCUUCUUAACUUUCUAGAACUUUGAUUGCUAUAUUAGACUAGAGAAUGAAGACCUGUAUUUUUUAAAAAGAUAAUAUUUAUGAUCAUAGUGUUACAAGGGACAAUGUACUGUCAAGUUGCUUGUUUAUCAAUAAUUAUUAAAAGCCAAAAAUGUAUUAGGUUUAGAUGCUGUUUGCAAAAAUUGUAAUAAGUUGAAAAUUUGCCCAAGUCUUUUUUAAUGAAAAUUCUCAAAAUGCUUAAAAAAAAAGCUGUAUAAACUUUCCAGAGACAAUGCAAUGAAAAUUUGUGUUUAAAUAAAAUAAUUAAGUGAAAUGAAGGGAGUUUCAAUUUUAUUUUAGCCAUAAUGUUGUACUGCUUUUAAUCUCCGGAGACUCUUCAGAGUAUUUUCGACUUAGUACUACAUUUUUCUGGGCAUUUUUGCACAUUUUCCAGCCAUUUUUGCACAUUUUCCAGCCAGUUUCAAAAUUCAGUACUACAUUUUUCUGGGCAUUUUUGCACAUUUUCCAGCCAGUUUCAAAAUUCUACAUUUUUUUUUGGCAUUUUACAGCUAUUUUUGCUCAUUUUCCAGCCAGUUUCAGAAAAUUAGGGCCAUUUUUGCCAAGCAUGAUCAUUCUUCAUUAGGUAGGAUGGAUUUGGUGGCCAUUUGAAUUGUUCAUUGUUCUUGCAGUUUAUGAUUGUGGACAAGCUUUUCAAAUAAAUUACCAGUUCUGAGAGGUUUUAUUAUUAUUCUUCCGAAUGCCUAAAAAAAGUAGUAAUGCUGUUUUCAGUUAGCAAAGCAGUUGCUUGAAAAAGAGAAAAUUUAUCAACAUCCAAUAUUAAUCUCGUAAUUUAUUAUUUUUAUUAUACAAUGCAUGUAGGUACAUUCACGGGACAAGGAGGGGAUAACCGGACAGUGCGGCAACGUAUUGACAGGAUAGAGUUGAGUAUCCCUCCUCCCUCCCUGGAAGGUGAAGCGAGGCAGAGGAUAGCAUCCAAUCUCCCAGUACAACAAAGCUUUCUGCAGCAGGAUGGGGAUUGUUGGCAGCACACACUGGUUUACUUCUCCCUUCAGUAAUGGCAGCACCUGUAGCAAGAUAUUAAAUUUUUAAACCUUGGUAAGAACACCUUGCUCCUACUUGUCCUAAUGUAGUACACGUCUGCCCUGUCUUGGAUACACCUGCACGAGGAAGUGAGCAGCUGUAGUCAUGAAAAUUGUGGGUCAGUGUUUAGAUAAAAGGUGAUUCCUCAAGCCAUUCUGAAGCGUGUAACAAUCAGUACAACCCAGUAUUUAAUUCUGAUCCGAAAUAAGAUCUGAAACCAAGAACAAAGGCUUUACAAGGACACUAAAUGAUAAAGAUGAAACAAUAUUACAAUCCCUAUUAAUAAAAGUAUAUAAUCUCGGGAGGGUUCAUCACCCAUCAUCUCUGCUGCAAGGGUGUUUGUGGAGCCGUAGUGUCAUCCACAGCUUCUGGAUUCCGUCCUUUGUGCUCGCCGCCCGUCUAGUGUAGUCCCCUCAUAACGCUUGAUCAGUCGGGGGAGCGUGGUACUUCAGGAACACUGGUAUCUCUG
This is a long non-coding RNA of Scylla paramamosain (green mud crab), 2955 nucleotides long. RefSeq lists it as uncharacterized. NCBI's taxonomy places the organism in Eukaryota, Metazoa, Arthropoda, Malacostraca, Decapoda, Portunidae. The transcript is spliced from 2 exons. The record is from RefSeq and is a predicted model, not a curated record.